Molecule: RNA transcript, 1532 nt
Organism: Mangifera indica (mango)
Lineage: Eukaryota; Viridiplantae; Streptophyta; Magnoliopsida; Sapindales; Anacardiaceae
Gene name: protein ORANGE, chloroplastic-like
Exons: 11
Source: RefSeq, a predicted model, not a curated record
AAUUAAAAAAGAAAGAUUACAUACACUGAGACAAGCACGGGGACGAGCAGCACAGGCUCCACUAAGUAUUUUGAAAAAUAUGGACCACCCUCUUCCUUCCACGUAGCAAACCACUUGUAAAAAGAAUCCCUGCACUUAUGCAUUUGCUAAUGCCUCUUUUUGUCUCCAUUGUUCACUCAUUCCUAAACUCAUCUAAAACAGCCAUCAAACCUAUAAAUUUUUUAAAUCUACUAGUAGAAACUCUGAACUACUGUCGAAGAAACUAGGAAUUACUCACCAUGUCUUGCUUGAGCCGAGUUUUGGCGAUUUCUUAUCCAUCGAAGCCGCUUGGUCGAUACAAUCAGGGUCGUAUCGACGCCGGAAUUAUCCAGGUUAAUCGAAGAUUAAGGUCGAACUGGCGAUGUAUGGCGUCAGAACCAGAGUCUUCCUCUUUGUCACCGUCAAUUGAUGCUGGUUCCACCGACAGAAGCGCUGCUGGAUUUUGUAUCAUAGAAGGGCCAGAAACUGUGCAGGACUUUGCAAAAAUGGAAAUGCAAGAAAUUCAAGAUAAUAUUCGUAGUCGUCGCAAUAAAAUUUUCCUGCACAUGGAAGAGGUUCGCAGGCUGAGAAUACAACAAAGAAUUAAAAGUGCUGAACUUGGUAUGAAGGAAGAGCAAGAACAUGAACUUCCUAACUUUCCAUCAUUCAUCCCAUUCUUACCUCCUUUGAGCUCAGCCAAUCUGAAGGUCUAUUAUGCUACUUGUUUUUCUCUCAUUGCGGGCAUUAUUAUUUUUGGUGGCCUUCUAGCACCUACUCUAGAGCUGAAGCUAGGGAUUGGUGGCACGUCUUAUGAGGAUUUUAUCCGUAAUGUUCAUCUACCAAUGCAGUUGAGUCAAGUUGAUCCUAUAGUUGCUUCGUUCUCUGGUGGAGCUGUUGGGGUAAUUUCAGCCUUGAUGGUAGUUGAAGUAAACAAUGUGAAACAGCAGGAACAUAAAAGAUGCAAAUACUGUCUUGGAACUGGGUAUCUUGCUUGUGCUCGGUGUUCCAGCACAGGAUCACUUGUUCUUAUAGAACCUGUCUCAACUGUCAUUGGUGGAGACCAACCCCUAUCAGCACCCAAAACGGAAAGAUGUCCGAACUGUUCAGGAUCUGGAAAGGUGAUGUGUCCCACAUGCCUUUGUACCGGAAUGGCCAUGGCAAGUGAACAUGAUCCCCGCAUCGACCCCUUCAUUUAGAGGUGCAUCAGGUGGAUUAAAUGGUUCCUAUGAAAGAAUGCAAGCGCAAAAUUGGAAAUUAAAUGCAGCUACAAAAAACUAUUCUUGUAAAGGGGACCACAAAUCCUAGCUUCGCCCAGGUAAGUGAUGGCAAGAAUGGACCACAUCAUGCCGUACGAUCAAGAAAUGGUUUUGCUGUUCUGAGAAAUCCGAGAUAUUUGUUCCGCUAGGAUUUCUUUUGUCGAAAUAUGAGUCAUUCUUGUGCAAUGAAAUAUUCUUGUAAGUCAUAAAAAAAUAAAAUAAAAAUAGCUGAGAUUAUUAUAUUUUAUAAAAAUUAAA